ACCUGGGUGGUGCAAAGAGUUAACACAUUUGGCUGCUAACCAAAAGGUUGGUGGUUCAAGUCUACCCAGAGAUG
Molecule: transfer RNA, 74 nt
Organism: Loxodonta africana (African savanna elephant)
Lineage: Eukaryota; Metazoa; Chordata; Mammalia; Proboscidea; Elephantidae
Rfam family: tRNA
About the family: Transfer RNA (tRNA) molecules are approximately 80 nucleotides in length.
Source: Rfam